This 915-nucleotide long non-coding RNA is filed under the name Durio zibethinus. RNAcentral's name for it is "long non-coding RNA (DZIB_LNC000756)". Lineage: Eukaryota; Viridiplantae; Streptophyta; Magnoliopsida; Malvales; Malvaceae. The record is from RNAcentral.
UAAUUUAUAAAUUUUAUUCAAAACAAGACAGCUUUAAUACUUUUAUUUAAAGUUCGAUUAGAAAUUUAAAUAAAUUUAAAAAUUAUAUAAAAAUUUAUUUAAUAAAUUUUAAUGUUUUAUUCAAAUUUUCUUCGUAUUUAAAUGGAUAAUACAUGUCUACAGUAAUUUAUUGCAACUAUAUACGAAAAAAAACCUUCAUUAGUUUAUUCAACCCCACAAAAUAAGUUUUUUUUGGAUCAUCCUCAUAAAAAAGAUAAAGGAAAAUAAAGAAUUGUUAACUCCUAAAAAGUAUAAGCCAAAGAGAAAUAAUAACUAACAAGUCAAAAACCAAAUAAUCAGAGCUAAACAGUAACAAAAAAGUAACAAAAAACAAGAGCAAACCCUUCAAAAUCUAAACAACCCCCCCCCCAAAAAAAAAGAGAAAACUGACAGAGAUCUCCACUAGGGAAAAUCAAAGCUAAAAAAGAGAAAACAGGAAUAAAUAAGAAGUGGGCAUUGAAAUAUAGAUCAAGAUCAAACACAGUGAAGCCUAAUCAUCAGCCUCUAAUAUGCUUGACUUUAUACCAGCCUUUCUUGCAUGAAUCUCCCACGAUCUUCACGCCCUUCUUCAGGAAAACCUUGAGCUCCUUGGCUCUCUCCUUUAAUUGCUGCUCAAACCCAGCCAUUGAAACGAAAGAGAAGAGAUGAAUGGGAACCAAAAAGUUGCAGGGAUUGGAGUUGUUUAAGCAGAGUGUGUUUGUGUAAAGUGUAAAGUAAACUCCUGGAACCGGGUACUAAACUCUGGGCUGUUUUUAAGCUGACGAGGGAGUUGAGCUAGGCCUCGUGGGAUCCAAAGCAUCUUCGAUACGUGGCGGGCAUCUAUGGGUUAUAGGUGUUUUGAAUUUUGUUAUCAACACGUUGAUUGCGGGAUAAGCA